RNAcentral lists this ribosomal RNA (489 nucleotides) under uncultured bacterium. RNAcentral's name for it is "partial 16S ribosomal RNA". It matches the Rfam family "Bacterial small subunit ribosomal RNA", at positions 899 to 1397 of the family's 1533-position model. The record is from RNAcentral.
ACUCAAAUGAAUUGACGGGGACCCGCACAACUGGUGGAGCGUGUGGUUUAAUUCGAGACAAAGCGAGCACCUUACCAGGGCUUGACUCGCUACCGUUUAUUCUCCCGGAAACGGGAGGAAAUCCGCAAGGAUGGUAGUACAGGUGCUGCAUGGCUGUCGUCAGCUCGUGCCGUGAGGUGUUCCCUUAAGUGGGGAAACGAGCGCAACCCGCAUCUAAUGUUAAAUAUUCAUUAGGAACUGCCCUGAUUCAAUCAGGGAGGAAGGAGCGGAAGACGUCAAGUCAGCACGGCCCUUAUGCCCUGGGUCACACACACCCUACAAUGGCGAACAACAAAGAGCAGCAAGCCGGCAACGGCAAGCAAAUCUCAGAAAUUUCGCCUCAGUUCAGAUUGAGGUCUGCAACCCGACCUCAUGAAGUCGGAAUCAGUAGUAAUCGCGGAUCAGAAGGCCGCGGUGAAUACGUUCUCGGGUCUUGUACACACCGCCCGU